AUAGCUUGCUAUAAUUGUCAGCUAAGUGGCGCACGGGUGAGUAAUGUAUAGAUAACCUGCCCUUAAGAAAGGAAUAACAGUUGGAAACGACUGCUAAUGCCCUAUAUGCCUUUAAUACAUAAGUAUGCAAGGGAAACGCUUUAGUGCUUAAGGAUGGGUCUGUAUGGUAUCAGCUUGUUGGUGAGGUAAUGGCUCACCAAGGCUAUGACGCCUAACUGGUUUGAGAGGAUGAUCAGUCACACUGGAACUGAGACACGGUCCAGACUCCUACGGGAGGCAGCAGUGGGGAAUAUUGCACAAUGGACGAAAGUCUGAUGCAGCAACGCCGCGUGGAGGAUGACACAUUUCGGUGCGUAAACUCCUUUUAUAUAGGAAGAUAAUGACGGUACUAUAUGAAUAAGCACCGGCUAACUCCGUGCCAGCAGCCGCGGUAAUACGGAGGGUGCAAGCGUUACUCGGAAUCACUGGGCGUAAAGAGCGUGUAGGCGGGUAUAUAAGUCAGAAGUGAAAUCCAAUAGCUCAACUAUUGAACUGCUUUUGAAACUGUAUACCUAGAAUGUGGGAGAGGUAGAUGGAAUUUCUGGUGUAGGGGUAAAAUCCGUAGAGAUCAGAAGGAAUACCGAUUGCGAAGGCGAUCUACUGGAACAUUAUUGACGCUGAGACGCGAAAGCGUGGGGAGCAAACAGGAUUAGAUACCCUGGUAGUCCACGCCCUAAACGAUGUACACUAGUUGUUGUGAGGCUCGACCUUGCAGUAAUGCAGUUAACACAUUAAGUGUACCGCCUGGGGGGUACGGUCGCA
This 801-nucleotide ribosomal RNA is filed under the name uncultured bacterium. RNAcentral describes it as "bacterial SSU rRNA". It matches the Rfam family "Bacterial small subunit ribosomal RNA", at positions 71 to 890 of the family's 1533-position model. The record is from RNAcentral.